Molecule: ribosomal RNA, 301 nt
Filed under: uncultured bacterium
Lineage: Bacteria
Description: partial 16S ribosomal RNA
Rfam family: Bacterial small subunit ribosomal RNA
Source: RNAcentral
CAGUCGCCACGGUAAUACAGAGGGUGCAAGCGUUAAUCGGAUUUACUGGGCGUAAAGGGCGCGUAGGUGGUUAUGUAAGUGAGAUGUGAAAUCCCCGGGCUCAACCAGGGAACUGCAUCUUAUACUGCGUAGCUGGAGUGCAGUAGAGGGUAGUGGAAUUUCCGGUGUAGCGGUGAAAUGCGUAGAUAUCGGAAGGAACACCAGUGGCGAAGGCGGCUACCUGGACUGACACUGACACUGAGGCGCGAAAGCGUGGGGAGCAAACAGGAUUAGAUACCCGUGUAGUCCCGUCUCUUAUACA